RNAcentral lists this ribosomal RNA (253 nucleotides) under uncultured bacterium. RNAcentral's name for it is "partial 16S ribosomal RNA". It matches the Rfam family "Bacterial small subunit ribosomal RNA", at positions 524 to 776 of the family's 1533-position model. The record is from RNAcentral.
AACGUAGGACACAAGCGUUAUCCGGAGUUACUGGGCGUAAAGGGCGUGUAGGCGGACCUAUAAGUCUAUUCUGAAAGCUCCUGGCUAAACUGGGAGAGGCGAAUGGAGACUGUAGAUCUAGAGUGAGGAAGAGGAAAGUGGAAUUCCGCGUGUAGUGGUGAAAUGCGUAGAGAUGCGGAGGAACACCAGUGGCGAAAGCGACUUUCUGGCCUGUUCUUGACGCUGAGGCGCGAAAGCUAGGGUAGCAAACGGG